Molecule: ribosomal RNA, 497 nt
Filed under: uncultured bacterium
Lineage: Bacteria
Description: partial 16S ribosomal RNA
Rfam family: Bacterial small subunit ribosomal RNA
Source: RNAcentral
GAUGAACGCUGGCGGCGUGCCUAAUACAUGCAAGUCGAGCGAACAGACGAGGAGCUUGCUCCUCUGACGUUAGCGGCGGACGGGUGAGUAACACGUGGAUAACCUACCUAUAAGACUGGGAUAACUUCGGGAAACCGGAGCUAAUACCGGAUAAUAUAUUGAACCGCAUGGUUCAAUAGUGAAAGACGGUUUUGCUGUCACUUAUAGAUGGAUCCGCGCCGCAUUAGCUAGUUGGUAAGGUAACGGCUUACCAAGGCAACGAUGCGUAGCCGACCUGAGAGGGUGAUCGGCCACACUGGAACUGAGACACGGUCCAGACUCCUACGGGAGGCAGCAGUAGGGAAUCUUCCGCAAAGGGCGAAAGCCUGACGGAGCAACGCCGCGUGAGUGAUGAAGGUCUUCGGAUCGUAAAACUCUGUUAUUAGGGAAGAAAAAAUGUGUAAGUAACUAUGCACGUCUUGACGGUACCUAAUCAGAAAGCCACGGCUAACUACGUG